GACCACGUAGCUCAGCUGGCAGAGCAGUGGGCUAGUAUUCCAAAGGUCGUAGGUUCGAUUCCCACCGUGGCCA
This is a non-coding RNA of Paramuricea clavata, 73 nucleotides long. Lineage: Eukaryota; Metazoa; Cnidaria; Anthozoa; Malacalcyonacea; Plexauridae. The record is from the annotation of a GenBank genome assembly.